Molecule: ribosomal RNA, 207 nt
Filed under: uncultured bacterium
Lineage: Bacteria
Description: partial 16S ribosomal RNA
Rfam family: Bacterial small subunit ribosomal RNA
Source: RNAcentral
CGUGUAGGCGGCUCGGCAAGUGGUGUGUGAAAUCCUCUGGCUCAACCAGAGAACUGCGCUCCAAACUGCCGAGCUUGAGAGUAGUAGAGGUAACUGGAAUUCCUGGUGUAGCGGUGAAAUGCGUAGAUAUCAGGAGGAACACCAUUGGCGAAGGCGAGUUACUGGGCUAUUUCUGACGCUGAGGCGCGAAAGCUGGGGGAGCGAACA